UUUCCGUUGUUGACCCAGCGGAAGGAUCAUUACAGAGAUCAUGCCCUCACGGGUAGACCUCCCACCCUGUGUUAUUUACGAUUGUUGCUUUGGCAGGCCGCCGUCGAGCGCUCGGCUUCGGCUGAGGUGCGCCUGCCAGAGGACCCCCAACUCUGUGUUUAGUGUUGUCUGAGUCUUAUUUAAUACGUUAAAACUUUCAACAACGGAUCUCUUGGUUCUGGCAUCGAUGAAGAACGAAGC
RNAcentral lists this unclassified non-coding RNA (240 nucleotides) under uncultured fungus. Its description in RNAcentral is "sequence contains ITS1, 5.8S rRNA gene". The stretch from base 192 to 240 matches the Rfam family "5.8S ribosomal RNA", at positions 1 to 49 of the family's 154-position model. The record is from RNAcentral. Lineage: Eukaryota; Fungi.